Molecule: ribosomal RNA, 764 nt
Filed under: uncultured fungus
Lineage: Eukaryota; Fungi
Description: SSU rRNA
Rfam family: Eukaryotic small subunit ribosomal RNA
Source: RNAcentral
GUGCCAGGAGCAAAAUUCCAGCUCCAAUAGCGUAUAUUAAAGUUGUUGCGGUUAAAAAGCUCGUAGUUGAACCUUGGGCCUGGCUGGCCGGUCCGCCUCACCGCGUGCACUGGUCCGGCCGGGCCUUUCCCUCUGUGGAACCCCAUACCCUUCACUGGGCGUGGCGGGGAAACAGGACAUUUACUUUGAAAAAAUUAGAGUGCUCCAGGCAGGCCUAUGCUCGAAUACAUUAGCAUGGAAUAAUAAAAUAGGACGCGCGGUUCUAUUUUGUUGGUUUAUAGGACCGCCGUAAUGAUUAAUAGGGACAGUCGGGGGCAUCAGUAUUCAACUGUCAGAGGUGAAAUUCUUGGAUCAGUUGAAGACUAACUACUGCGAAAGCAUUUGCCAAGGAUGUUUUCAUUAAUCAGGAACGAAAGUUAGGGGAUCGAAGACGAUCAGAUACCGUCGUAGUCUUAACCAUAAACUAUGCCGACUAGGGAUCGGGACGGUGUUAUUUCAUGACCCGUUCGGGCACCUUACGAGAAAUCAAAGUGCUUGGGCUCCAGGGGGAGUAUGGGCCGCAAGGCUGAAAACUUAAAGAAAUUGACGGAAGGGCACCACCCAGGGGUGGGAGGCCUGCGGCUUAAUUUGACUCAACACGGGGAAAACUCAACCAGGGUCCAGGACACAAUAAGGAAUUGACAGAUUGAGAGCUUCUUUCCUUGAUUUUGUGGGUUGGGGGUGCAUGGCCGUUCUUAGUUGGGGGGGGGGGACUUGGCCGGCUU